Triticum aestivum (bread wheat) is the source of this 115-nucleotide non-coding RNA. NCBI's taxonomy places the organism in Eukaryota, Viridiplantae, Streptophyta, Magnoliopsida, Poales, Poaceae. The record is from Rfam.
UUCAUACUUCCUCCGUUUCAAAUUACUCGUCGCAGAGAUGGAUGUAUCUAGAACUAAAAUACAUUUAGAUACAUCCAUACCUGUGACAAGUAAUCCGAAACGGAGGGAGUAGCUU